RNAcentral lists this ribosomal RNA (372 nucleotides) under Psammetichus crassicornis. Its description in RNAcentral is "partial 12S ribosomal RNA". Lineage: Eukaryota; Metazoa; Arthropoda; Insecta; Coleoptera; Tenebrionidae. The record is from RNAcentral.
GAUACCCUAUUAUUUUGAAUGUUAAUUUUUGAACUAUAAUUAUUAUGAGUUAAGGUCUUUAAAGUUAAAGAUUUUGGCGGUAUUUUAGUCUUUUCAGAGGAACCUGUUUUUUAAUCGAUGGUCCACGAUAAAUUUUACUUUUGCUUUAAAUUUAUAUAUCGUCGUUAUUUAAAUAUUUUAUUAGAAUUUGAAUGUUUGGGAUUUUUAAUUUUAAAUUAGUUCAGAUCAAGGUGUAGUUUAUGCUUGAGUAAAAAUGGGUUACAUUAUAUUUAUAUGUGGAUUUGGAAUUGAAGAUUUUUUUGAAAAUGGAUUUGAAAGUAAUAUUUUAUGUUUAUUUAAUGUGAUUUAGCUCUAAAAUAUGCACACAUCGCC